RNAcentral lists this unclassified non-coding RNA (336 nucleotides) under soil metagenome. RNAcentral's name for it is "partial contains 5.8S ribosomal RNA, internal transcribed spacer 2, and large subunit ribosomal RNA". The stretch from base 1 to 120 matches the Rfam family "5.8S ribosomal RNA", at positions 35 to 154 of the family's 154-position model. The record is from RNAcentral.
GAUGAAGAACGCAGCGAAAUGCGAUAAGUAGUGUGAAUUGCAGAAUUCAGUGAAUCAUCGAAUCUUUGAACGCACAUUGCGCCCCUUGGUAUUCCAUGGGGCAUGUCUGUUCGAGCGUCAUUUGUACCUUCAAGCUUUGCUUGGUGUUGGGUGUUUGUCUCGCCUUUGCGUGUAGACUCGCCUUAAAAUAAUUGGCAGCCGGCGUAUUGAUUUCGGAGCGCAGUACAUCUCGCGCUUUGCACUCAUAACGACAGCGUCCAAAAGUACAUUUUACACUCUUGACCUCGGAUCAGGUAGGGAUACCCGCUGAACUUAAGCAUAUCAAUAAGCGGAGGA